Molecule: long non-coding RNA, 142 nt
Organism: Sander lucioperca (pikeperch)
Lineage: Eukaryota; Metazoa; Chordata; Actinopteri; Perciformes; Percidae
Exons: 3
Source: RefSeq, a predicted model, not a curated record
UGGGGAAUAAGUGACAAAAUAAAAUCUAAAUCCCUGAAUUUGAAAAGGAAUACAGGUCUGGUAUCCUACAGAGGCAGACCAACAGGGACAACAGGCUAUAGUAAUGGAAUCAUCCACACAAAAAAAAAUUAAACUGAAAGAU